UAUGAUUUCAUCAGAUGGUUC
RNAcentral lists this non-coding RNA (21 nucleotides) under Caenorhabditis elegans. The record is from RNAcentral. Lineage: Eukaryota; Metazoa; Nematoda; Chromadorea; Rhabditida; Rhabditidae.